GCUUCCAUGGCGUAGUGGUAGCGCGCCACACUUACGUUGUGGAGGCCGCGGGUUCGAUCCCCGCUGGAAGCA
Molecule: transfer RNA, 72 nt
Filed under: Giardia muris
Lineage: Eukaryota; Fornicata; Diplomonadida; Hexamitidae
Rfam family: tRNA
About the family: Transfer RNA (tRNA) molecules are approximately 80 nucleotides in length. Their secondary structure includes four short double-helical elements and three loops (D, anti-codon, and T loops).
Source: Rfam by way of RNAcentral